AGCGAACGCUGGCGGCAGGCCUAAUACAUGCAAGUCGAGCGGGUCCUUCGGGAUUAGCGGCGGACGGGUGAGUAACGCGUGGGAACGUGCCCUUUGGUACGGAACAACUGAGGGAAACUUCAGCUAAUACCGUAUGUGCCCUUCGGGGAAAGAUUUAUCGCCAUUGGAGCGGCCCGCGUUGGAUUAGGUAGUUGGUGAGGUAAAGGCUCACCAAGCCUACGAUCCAUAGCUGGUCUGAGAGGAUGACCAGCCACACUGGGACUGAGACACGGCCCAGACUCCUACGGGAGGCAGCAGUAGGGAAUCUUGCGCAAUGGGCGAAAGCCUGACGCAGCCAUGCCGCGUGAAUGAUGAAGGUCUUAGGAUUGUAAAAUUCUUUCACCGGGACGAUAAUGACGGUACCCGGAGAAGAAGCCCCGGCUAACUUCGUGCCAGCAGCCGCGGUAAU
RNAcentral lists this ribosomal RNA (448 nucleotides) under uncultured bacterium. RNAcentral's name for it is "bacterial SSU rRNA". It matches the Rfam family "Bacterial small subunit ribosomal RNA", at positions 29 to 524 of the family's 1533-position model. The record is from RNAcentral.